Molecule: ribosomal RNA, 440 nt
Filed under: uncultured bacterium
Lineage: Bacteria
Description: partial 16S ribosomal RNA
Rfam family: Bacterial small subunit ribosomal RNA
Source: RNAcentral
CCUACGGGUGGCUGCAGUGGGGAAUAUUGGACAAUGGGCGCAAGCCUGAUCCAGCCAUGCCGCGUGAGUGAUGAAGGCCUUAGGGUUGUAAAGCUCUUUUGGCGGGGACGAUAAUGACGGUACCCGCAGAAUAAGUCCCGGCUAACUUCGUGCCAGCAGCCGCGGUAAUACGAAGGGGACUAGCGUUGUUCGGAAUCACUGGGCGUAAAGCGCACGUAGGCGGAUUUGUAAGUCAGGGGUGAAAUCCCGGGGCUCAACCUCGGAACUGCCUUUGAUACUGCGAAUCUCGAGUCCGAUAGAGGUGGGUGGAAUUCCUAGUGUAGAGGUGAAAUUCGUAGAUAUUAGGAAGAACACCGGUGGCGAAGGCGGCCCACUGGAUCGGUACUGACGCUGAGGUGCGAAAGCGUGGGGAGCAAACAGGAUUAGAUACCCUAGUAGUC